Long non-coding RNA from Pocillopora damicornis (cauliflower coral), 391 nucleotides. The record is from RefSeq and is a predicted model, not a curated record. Lineage: Eukaryota; Metazoa; Cnidaria; Anthozoa; Scleractinia; Pocilloporidae.
AAAUUUAACUUUUCUUGUGGAUUUUGGAUUCUCAGACACUCUGAGUACCUAUGAUGACUUGGAUUCUGAUGCGAUAAAGAACUACUCUGAGUUCUCCUUGGCUAGUCUUUUGUUUUAUGGCAUGAAGGAGGGAGCCUGUAGCGAGCAGAGCUCUCGCAUGACUGCAAUGGACAGUGCUAGUAAAAAUGCGGGUGAAAUGAUUGACAAGUUGACUUUGACAUACAAUCGAACUCGCCAAGCUGUGAUUACAAGGGAGUUGAUUGAGAUCAUCUCAGGAGCUGCUGCGUUGGAUUAGAUUUAGAACUUUUUAUUAAAAUGAUGUCUUAAGUAAUGUUUGUAACUGUUGAAAUAAAGAAGCCCUUGGAGGUGUGUUUCCAUCCUUGACAAAAUU